Molecule: ribosomal RNA, 426 nt
Filed under: uncultured bacterium
Lineage: Bacteria
Description: bacterial SSU rRNA
Rfam family: Bacterial small subunit ribosomal RNA
Source: RNAcentral
GUGAGGAAUCUUCCGCAAUGGACGAAAGUCUGACGGAGCAACACCGCGUGCAGGAUGACGGCUUUCGGGUUGUAAACUGCUUUUAUAUGGGAAGAUUAUGACGGUACCAUAUGAAUAAGGACCGGCUAACUACGUGCCAGCAGCCGCGGUAAUACGUAGGGUCCAAGCGUUAUCCGGAAUUACUGGGCGUAAAGCGUACGUAGGCGGCGCGUUAAGUGCAAUGCGAAAUCUUGUGGCUCAACCAUAUAGACUGUGUUGCAUACUGGCGUGCUCGAGGAUGGCAGAGGCAAGUGGAAUUUGUAGUGUAGCAGUGAAAUGCGUAGAUAUUACAAGGAACACCAAUGGCGAAGGCAGCUUGCUGGGCCAUAUCUGACGCUGAGGUACGAAAGCGUGGGGAGCGAACAGGAUUAGAUACCCGGGUAGUCC